This 69-nucleotide transfer RNA is filed under the name Cryptocephalus flavolimbatus. RNAcentral describes it as "tRNA-Ala". It matches the Rfam family "tRNA". From Rfam's summary of the family: Transfer RNA (tRNA) molecules are approximately 80 nucleotides in length. Their secondary structure includes four short double-helical elements and three loops (D, anti-codon, and T loops). Lineage: Eukaryota; Metazoa; Arthropoda; Insecta; Coleoptera; Chrysomelidae. The record is from RNAcentral.
AGGAUAAUAGUUAAUUAUAACAUUUAAUUUGCAAUUAAAAAGUAUUGAUUUAUUAAUCAAUUUAUCUUA